GUGCAGGUAGGACUGGUCUGUUUCCAAAGAGGUUUCAGAUCUUUAUUGUCUAUUUUUCAAUCGUGUAAUUAUGUUAACUUGCAGCCGGGUGAUUACUCAACCAAGCGUUGCAAGAAUCACGGUUAGUCAAGAGGGAACUGGCCAGGUGCGUUGCAGAUCCCUCGCGCAAGGAGUGGCUGGAGGGAUCUUGACAAUAGCAAGGAUUGUCUGGUUUCACUGACCAGACUGGCGAGCUAAAAUAAGCAGGAUCCAGAAACACAAGACUUAUCUGGGAACAUUCUUCCGAACUAAUUGGAGGAUCAGCUCAAGUCCCCAUUGAAGGAAGUGGAUUAUUUUGGGUUUUUUUCAUCAUCAACAAAGACUGGUGGACGUCCUUGGUAUAAGGAACUUUAACUUGUUUUUUCCUUUAAACUAUGGACUAAUGUGUAUAUAUAUUGUAAAUACUAAAUACAACUCACCAAUUUGCACCAUC
Xiphophorus couchianus (Monterrey platyfish) is the source of this 472-nucleotide long non-coding RNA. RefSeq lists it as uncharacterized. NCBI's taxonomy places the organism in Eukaryota, Metazoa, Chordata, Actinopteri, Cyprinodontiformes, Poeciliidae. The transcript has 2 exons. The record is from RefSeq and is a predicted model, not a curated record.